Molecule: long non-coding RNA, 3506 nt
Organism: Aegilops tauschii subsp. strangulata
Lineage: Eukaryota; Viridiplantae; Streptophyta; Magnoliopsida; Poales; Poaceae
Source: RefSeq, a predicted model, not a curated record
AUGGGACAGGGGCUGCAACCAGGGGCGUACCCAGGGGCCGCGUCUCGCCGUAGGUCCACCUCGCCGCCCAGCGCCUCCUCUCCGGCCGCCCAGAUCCCCUCGCCUUCCUGCAGGUCCAGCCCAACCCCGACACCACCGACGUCCUCCGCACCGCCGCCCGCACCCCGCACGCGAUGGCUAGGCGCUCAGCCGCGCACGGCAGAGCGCGCUCCCCGGGCCUGGCUCUCCAUGCUUCGUCUCCCCCGACGGCCUGAGGGUGGCCACCCCAAGAACCGACCUGGCCGACGAGGUUGGGAAGAAUCAGGCAUUCAUGGAUGGAUCCUCGAUGAGCCACCCGAUGCUCCCUCCAUCUCCCUUCCCUUCUCUUCAUACGCUGGAGGAAGGACUGGAACCGAGAGCUCCGCCUCCGUGUCUCUCUGCCUCCCCUGCCGGUCUCCGCUAUCCGCUGCCGUCGUCUCACCCUCGGCAGGCCCUCUUCGCCUUCUCUGUUCUUAAAAAAAAUAGUUAUGAUUGAGCAACACGGAAGUCCAUUGCUAUGAAAGACUUGACCAUGCAAUUUGGCGUUUGAUCCUGGACUGAAGGCUAGCUGGUGCAAAAGCUAUGAAUUUCCUUUCCUGUGAUGCAUAUAGUAGGCUAACUUUCUCUUAGUUUCUUUCGUCCGCGCUUUCAUUUGUACAACCGCUACAUGUAUCUCAAUGAAAAAGCUAGCACUUCCUGAAUCUUUCAAAAAGAAGCAACGCAUGAAGUUGUAGUCCCAUGUGAAUUAUAUUUUAUCUUACUCCAAAAUUAGUUCAGAUAUAUGCAUAUGUUACUGGCAGAUUUCUAUAUGAAAUUUAUACAUUCUUUAUUUGCAUUGUUAGAUUUUUCAUGGAGCAGGCAAGCUUAUGAACUUUACAGGUUGACCUUGAUGUAUCCUCUGUUUAUUCUGGCAUAACCUCAUGUAUGGCCUAUAGGCAUGUAAACAGACUUGCAGAUAAUAGUACCAUGAUGAUGGAUACAUGGCAGUGUUUUUGGUUUCUGUCUCCUUAUUAGAUCAAUGUGUUUGAUGUUGUUUCACUGAAACUCAUAUUUGUUCCAUUUGUGACUUGCAGUUACGUAUGGGUUUCACUCCAACAAAAACAAAUUCUGGUUUAUGAUAAGUGAGGUACCUCUCAAAAUAAUGUUAUUAUGGCAGCGGUACGCUCCAGUUUUUUUUUAAUCUUGCUGUUGAAGGGGGAAGAACAGCUACGUACAAUUCAUUGGUUUGUUUAAGCAAGGGACGGAAGGUUGUUCCUGUAUGUAAUACAGUAUGCCAAUCAGCCCUCUAAUCUAUUUAUCAUAUUAUAGCUCAAGAGGGUCAUAGUAGGCUGAGGCCUUGGCUAAACAGGAGCCGAUGCUUUCAUCCUCUCCUCCAUCGCCGGCAGAGCAAGCUAUCAGAAUAUGCAUAAGAAGCCAGUGGAUGCUGGAGCUUCGCCAGUACACGCUCACGUUUCAUGUAAUUAUUGUUGGAACCAAGUUGGGUAUGUUCUUAACCUUCUUCUGCAGUGUAUUAGUUGGACGUGAAGGUCUCUGUUGAAUAAAGGCAUAAACCUCAACAGCGAAGUGAGGCAGUUGGCGUACAGAAGGUAGAAUUUAUCACAUAAAGUUUGAGCAAGUAUUUUCGGUGUUUCUUAAUAUAUUUUAAUUUUUUAUUCUUAUAGUAUGUUAGUUCAAUAUAUGUGAAAAGGAGAAGACAUGAAUGUAAGCAAUUUAAAUCCUGGAAGGCCACUCAUGAAUGGAAAAAAAUUUAGGGUAUUGAGAAUUUUCAUGCAUAAGAGAUAGUUUGAUUCUAGGAGUAAAAGGUGUAUGUACAUGGUAUGAUAUAUCUCACUAAUUUAUUCAUCUUUUUUAUCGAAAGGAUUAUAGUGAAUCUGAACCGCCAGUAGUGUUGUAGUCUGGGUUAAACAGUACCUAAAUGUAUCACAUAAAGUAACAUCACACUCAUUUUAGGAGUUGGCCUAGGAAUCCAUGGAAGAUAAUGCUGAGAUUAAGCAAUAGCUUACUUGGGGAAGAAUACAAUGAAGAAGGGUGGUCUAAAUGAGUUUAUCCGACCAUCACUAGCAUGUUAAAUUUUUGACUAUUAAACUGAACAUUACACAUAUGUAACUUGACUGUAACAGACCCUACAGAAAGUUUAUGAACUAACAAUUGUUAGGGAAAGAUUAUGCUUUUCUGUAAUACAUCAGAACCAACAGAAUUAAGAUUUUAGUUUAAUAUCUAGGAACUGUGUAAACAUCUCUUCCGUACUGUUUUAUACAGUUUAAAUGAUUGAUUGCACACACAAAUUGUAAUGUCUUGGCUUACUUAAUGGGGGUAGCAGGGCAUACUCGCUAAUGAUAUGUUGAAGUGUACGGGCAGUAUGUCAAUAUAUGCUUUCUCACCCUCUGUCCCGUACAUGGUAAUAAAGUGACCUUCCCUAUAUUCUUUUUGUUGGUAAUACUCUCCUUGAUGUGUCCUAGAAUUUUAUUUUAAGGAGAGCUUUUUGAGGUGUUAUAUAAUAUGCGCUGUUUGGGUUGGAACAUACUUUACUUUAGGUGUUGCACUUUUCCUCGGUGUUAAAUCACUUUAGGAGACUCUGCUUUGGAUUUGGAUAGUGCAACAGCUGGGUUCUCUGCUUUGUUCUAUUCGCAGCUAACAGUGCACAAUCACUUAGUUGCUCCUGAAAACCACCAUCAGAAUUAACUCUCCUGUUCAUUUCAAGAUCAUGGUUCCGUAAAAAUGGCAUUUAUGUUACGUACACUUAAUUAUGAACUUCACAAAAAUUGGAGGGUGUGUGCUUCCCUUUUAAUAUUCAUAGCUACAUGUUUUCAUGAUAAUGGGCAAUGGAAAUUGAUAUCAUAAGAUUGGUUAUCCUAUAUUUACACUCAUCAAUUUAACAGUAACAUGUUCAGUUGAUUUUUUGCAAAAUUGAGAUAUUUUCUUUUGCCAACUUGACCAGUGCAAUCUCAAACAAGUGAAUCAAAGUUAUGAAACUGCAUGUGUGGCUGCUAUUAACUUGAGGCUCUUAAUCAACUAAGCUAGAGUUUUCAGUAAUGACCAAUUCAAUUCUAUGGUUAGAGAUUCGGUUAUAUGUCUUUAUGGAGUGUUUCCAUGUUCUAUAGCCGUCAUAUUUUGAAAUUGCACUAUCCAUCAUGUACACAUGGAAAUCCAAAUUAUUUCCACACUAUUGUCAGAGUAGCUAUUCAUUCCUUUUACUGAGUGGUGCUAAUGGACGAUAUCAAAUGGAUAUGCUCGACACAAAGUAUGAAGAUUUUCAAGUCAAAGAAGUAUGAGUAUGACAGGAAAAAGAAGGAACUGCAAGUGGAGCUAAACGAAGUUCUAUUGUAGUGGAGCAAAGCCGGAACAUACCAUUGUCAUGUAUUGCUGCAAGUCUUUUGACUAUGACAUUUACAUACUUUUUUUAAUUUAUUUUCCUUGAUUAUUGUAUCACUUCUAUUCCUGGUGUAAAAUGACAUUUACAUAAUUAUUUAAAUUAUUUUUCUUGAUUA